This 433-nucleotide ribosomal RNA is filed under the name uncultured bacterium. RNAcentral's name for it is "partial 16S ribosomal RNA". It matches the Rfam family "Bacterial small subunit ribosomal RNA", at positions 29 to 507 of the family's 1533-position model. The record is from RNAcentral.
AACGAACGCUGGCGGCAUGCCUAACACAUGCCAGUCGAACGAGACCUUCGGGUCUAGUGGCGCACGGGUGCGUAACGCGUGGGAACCUGCCCUUAGGUUCGGAAUAACUCCCCGAAAGGGGUGCUAAUACCGGAUAAUGUCUUCGGACCAAAGAUUUAUCGCCUUUGGAUGGGCCCGCGUUGGAUUAGCUAGUUGGUAGGGUAAAAGCCUACCAAGGCGACGAUCCAUAGUUGGUCUGAGAGGAUGAUCAGCCACACUGGGACUGAGACACGGCCCAGACUCCUACGGGAGGCAGCAGUGGGGAAUAUUGGACAAUGGGCGAAAGCCUGAUCCAGCAAUGCCGCGUGAGUGAUGAAGGCCUUAGGGUUGUAAAGCUCUUUUACCCGGGAUGAUAAUGACAGUACCGGGAGAAUAAGCUCCGGCUAACUCCGUG